AAUUUGGGACUGGAAUGAAAGGUUNGACUGUGCAAUUUUGUCUUAUAAUAAUAUUUUGAAAUUUAUGUUUUAGUAAAAAAGCUAAAAUUUUUCUUAAAGACGAGAAGACCCUAUCAAGCUUUACAAUUUUAGUUUAUUUUCAAAUUAAGUAAAUAAUUGUUUUGCUGGGGCAGCAGAUAAAAAAUUUUUAUUUUUAUAUUGUGAUUAAUAAAUCUUGAUAAACCAAAAAAUUUUUAAAAAAGAAUAAGUUACUGUAGGGAUAACAGCAUAAUUUUUUUAAAGAGUUCUUAUCAUCAAAAAAGUUUGUGACCUCGAUGUUGGAUUAAGAGACCUAAUUCGUGCAAUAAUAAAAUAAGGAA
Molecule: ribosomal RNA, 359 nt
Filed under: Serradigitus gertschi
Lineage: Eukaryota; Metazoa; Arthropoda; Arachnida; Scorpiones; Vaejovidae
Description: partial 16S ribosomal RNA
Source: RNAcentral